This 1393-nucleotide long non-coding RNA is filed under the name Linum usitatissimum (flax). Its description in RNAcentral is "long non-coding RNA (LUSI_LNC006311)". Lineage: Eukaryota; Viridiplantae; Streptophyta; Magnoliopsida; Malpighiales; Linaceae. The record is from RNAcentral.
CUGCCCUCUCUGAAAACCCUAAUUCUACCACUCGUUAAUAAUCCAAUCCGCCAUUGGCGCUCACGAGAAGGAGACAACCUCCUAUCGUUCUUUUUAUCUGCAAAGAACAGCAUAGCUAAGGUACGAUAAUACCUAUACAUUUGAGCUCACUAUUUGUAUCCCUGAUUCGUUUGGAUAAGUUCUUUUAGGGCGUUCAUCAUUGUUGAUGUUGAUCUUCGUUAUUUUUUCUCAUUGUUGUUCGUCAUGCCCGGCCUUUUACAUUAGAUUCAUUUUAUUUAGAUAGUAGAUUUAUGUCUGCCUGGGAUUAUUAGGGCACGUCAGAUUUUCCUUACUCUUUGGCCUUGCCCUCACACUGCUUCUCCUUUUCUCCUGAAGCUACCUGGUUUCCUUCCUUUUGAUUUCAGAGCGUUUGAAAACCAACAAGUUGUUUGCUUUAGGAAUUCGUGUGUUUUUAGUAGCUUUGGGGGUUUCCAUCUCUGGGGUUUAUUAAGGGCUUUUGUAUUCAUUUUGCAAUCUCUUUCUCCUCAAUUCCGUGUGUUCAUUUUCAUUUGGACUGAGUAAGCUACCCUCCUCUCGAUCCCCUUUCUUGCUAUAUAAUUCUCCCCUCCCCCCUUGAAAGAGAUAGAAGAGUAAUCUUAAGAUAUGUUGUUGUGACAUUUAAUAAAUAUGCUUCCAAUACACUAUGUGUGCAUCCUAGUCUUCUAUUGCGGUAGUGACAUUUCGUUUGGUGGACUUUUUAAAUCAUGUUUCUGUGGAUUAAUUCUCAGAUGGUGUUAUAUAUCUGGUGCAUCUCAUCCACUAACUUGACUCCCGUUGCUACCAUAGGAUAAGUUGGAUGGAUAUCAUCAGUCGAGGGAUUUGAUUCCGCUGUUAUCUUGUAAGGUGCUUACUCUGACGUUUAUUGUAUUAAGUGCACAAGGCUCCAAAUUCAUGCUCCACAAGAUACAACAUACAGAACAUUGGGAUUCAUUAAAUGUUCUUUUUUUAACCGAGCCCUCUUUUCUCUUUUAAACACACAUUCUUAGUUCAAUCGUAUCUUUUAGCGUCCUUUUUUCUUUAGCUUUUAAGUUCAGUGGUAAUAUUCUGUGUAAAGCGGAUGGAAGCCAAAUUCACAGCUUUCAUAUUCAAGGCAUCUAUAUUGCUGUGGAAAAUUUACAGAAUCUUCUCUAUGCGUAUGGGAUGAUGAGUUUUAAGUAUAAGCAUCUAUGCUUCACUCCAGUACGACUAUAAUACCAAUGAUUCUAGGAGAGGCAUCUAUCUGAUCUUUUUCUUUUGAGCGUAGAGAAAUUUUAGUUUAGUGUAAUGAAAUUUCUCUAGCAUGACAUCAUGACAUGUAGUCAUGUCUGAAUUCAUGUCCUCCUAUAUUAUAUAUUUAUAUUAUCUUCUUCAGCAA